UUCUGCUUUAUUGACUAUGCCAAAGCCUUUGAGUGUGUGAAUAACAAUAAACUGUAGGAAAUUCUCAAAGAGAUGGAAAUACCAGACUACCUAACCUGCCUCUUGACAAAUCUGUAUGCAGGUCAAGAAGCAAGAGUGAAAACUGGACAUGAAACAGCAAACUGGUUCCAAAGUGGGAAAGGAGCACAUCAAGGUUGUAUAUUGUUGUCGUGUUUAUUUAACUCAUAUGUGGAGUACAUCAUGAGA
This 246-nucleotide small RNA is filed under the name Bos taurus (domestic cattle). The record is from RNAcentral. Lineage: Eukaryota; Metazoa; Chordata; Mammalia; Artiodactyla; Bovidae.